Long non-coding RNA from Pan paniscus (pygmy chimpanzee), 814 nucleotides. NCBI's taxonomy places the organism in Eukaryota, Metazoa, Chordata, Mammalia, Primates, Hominidae. The record is from Ensembl.
CCUAAGGUUUUUUUCCCUUUUCCAUUCUAUUAUAUGGAUAUUUUAUACCUUCUCUUCACUCUUCAAAAUCUCUGAUCCUCAUUUUUAGCCAUUGACUUUAUUUUCUAUGUCUGGAAAUAAAUAGAAGUAAAUGGAAAAUAAUUUUCAAAUUUCCAUUAGCACUUCACUUAUCUCCUCUGACUUCAUAAUAUGUGUAUCAGUUAGCUAAUGCUGCAUAACAAAUGACUUCAAAACUUAAAGCAAUAAUCAUUUAAUAUUUUUUUCAAGCCUACAGUCCAAUGGAGAAGACUUGAUUAUUAGGACCUAGCUGUGCUUAUCUCAUCUGGGCUCCCUCAUGUGUAUGUGGUCAACUUGUGGUUAGCUGUGGUGACUUUGGCAUGAAUGACUCAGCUCUCUGCAUCUCUCACAUCCCUUGAGCAUGCUAGUCCAGGUGGGGAGUAAAUGGACAAGUCUGGAUGUGUGUGCUCAAGGCUCAACAAAUAUUCCUUUGAUCAGUUCAAAGAAGAGUGGCCGAGAGACUCUGGUUGACUCUACCUGCAGAGGUGAGAGAAGGCUGGCUGCACAGAGGACAGGAUGCCUGAGAAGGGUCUCAGAAGAGGCACUUCCUUCUUUUUUUUUUAAAAGGGAUCUACAGUCAAACAAAGGAGAACAAUCCAAUAAUGAGAACAUCCUUGAGGAUCACAGAGUCCAGAGUCCCCAGAGAGAGGGAGAGCAAUCAUGUCUUCUAGAUGGCGAGUUACUUACACAUAUGUCUAGUAGCCUGAAAAACGAGAGAGACCAGAAUAUAGGUGUGUGCCCAUGGUAUGUCAUCUGA